GGAUGUGAGGGUAAUCUGGAUGCAACAUCUGUCACCCCAUUGAUUCAGCUGAUCUGGCUGGCUAGGCAGGUGUCCCCUUCCUACCUCACCACUCCAUGUGUGUCCCUACCUUCUGAAAGCUACGCACUCAGUCAAAAAGGAUGACCCUCCCCAAUAGAGGAAGACUGUUCUUUGGUCAAGGGUAUACUAGUAGCUACACUCCCCUGCUAGAACCUUCUUACAAGCUCUCAGUAUACGUAGAUUCUUAACAUCUGCACAUUAAUUUUAUAAAUUGCUAUUAAAUAUGUUUCAUUCAGCUGGAUUU
Molecule: small nuclear RNA, 304 nt
Filed under: Propithecus coquereli (Coquerel's sifaka)
Lineage: Eukaryota; Metazoa; Chordata; Mammalia; Primates; Indriidae
Description: 7SK RNA (ENSPCOG00000008061.1)
Rfam family: 7SK RNA
About the family: 7SK was discovered as an abundant small nuclear RNA in the mid-70s but a possible function has only recently been suggested. Two independent studies have found that 7SK RNA binds the CDK9/cyclin T complex (known as elongation factor P-TEFb). P-TEFb activates transcription by phosphorylating the C-terminal domain of RNA polymerase II.
Source: Rfam by way of RNAcentral